RNAcentral lists this ribosomal RNA (514 nucleotides) under uncultured bacterium. RNAcentral describes it as "bacterial SSU rRNA". It matches the Rfam family "Bacterial small subunit ribosomal RNA", at positions 28 to 527 of the family's 1533-position model. The record is from RNAcentral.
GACGAACGCUGGCGGCGUGGAUUAGGCAUGCAAGUCGGACGGUAGGGCUUUAUCGUAAGAUAGAGUUUGAGAGUGGCGAACGGGUGAGUAACACGUAGGUUAUCUACCCUCAAGACGGGGACAACCCAGGGAAACUUGGGCUAAUACCGGAUGUGAGCAACUUUUAGUUGUUUGAAAGGUGGCGUAAGCUGUCGCUUGGGGAUGAGCCUGCGUCCUAUUAGUUAGUUGGUGAGGUAACGGCUCACCUAGGCAAUGAUAGGUAGGCGGCCUUAACGGGUGGUCGCCCACACUGGGAUUGAGAUACGGCCCAGACUCCUACGGGAGGCAGCAGUCGAGAAUAGUCUACAAUGGUCGGAAGACUGAUAGUGCGACGCCGCGUGAACGAUGAAUCCCUUCGGGGUGUAAAGUUCUUUUAUAUGUGAGCAGUGCUUCUUAUAUUAACAGUAUGGGGAGAGAGAUAUUAGCAUAUGAAUAAGCAACGGCUAACUCCGUGCCAGCAGCCGCGGUAAACUCG